This 467-nucleotide ribosomal RNA is filed under the name uncultured bacterium. Its description in RNAcentral is "partial 16S ribosomal RNA". It matches the Rfam family "Bacterial small subunit ribosomal RNA", at positions 28 to 506 of the family's 1533-position model. The record is from RNAcentral.
GAUGAACGCUGGCGGCGUGCUUAACACAUGCAAGUCGAACGGAAAGGCCAGUGCUUGCACUGGUACUCGAGUGGCGAACGGGUGAGUAACACGUGGGUGUUCUGCCCUGCACUUCGGGAUAAGCCUGGGAAACUGGGUCUAAUACCGGAGAGGACAAUGGUUUGGAUGCCGUUGUGGAAAGUUUUUGCGGUGUGGGGUGAGCUCGCGGCCUAUCGGCUUGUGGGGGGGGUAAUGGGCUACCAAGGCGUCGACGGGUAGCCGGCCUGUGAGAGUGUACGGCGAUAUUGGGACUGAGGGGCGGCCCAGGCGCGUACGGGUGGCAGCAGUGGGGAAUAUUGAUCCAUGGGCGCAAGCCUGAUGCAGCGGGGCCGCGGGGUGGAUAACGGCUUUCGUGUUGUGAACGGGUUGUGCUAGGAACGAUGCGUGUUUGUGCGGGUACCUGGGGAAGAGACACCGGCUAACUACGU